Molecule: ribosomal RNA, 435 nt
Filed under: uncultured Gammaproteobacteria bacterium
Lineage: Bacteria; Pseudomonadati; Pseudomonadota; Gammaproteobacteria
Description: bacterial SSU rRNA
Rfam family: Bacterial small subunit ribosomal RNA
Source: RNAcentral
GCAGCGUGGAGUGAGAAGGCCUUCGGCCUUGUAAAGCUCUUUUAGCGGGGAGGAAGGGGGGAGUGUUGAUACCUUUGCUCCUUGACGUUUCCCUGACAAGAAGCACCGGCUAACUCCGUGCCAGCAGCCGCGGUAAUACUGACGGUGCAAGCGUUAAUCGGAAUUACUGGGCGUAAAGCGCACUCAGGCGGUUUGUUAAGUCCCAUGUGAAAUCCCCGGGCUCAACCUGGGAACUGCAUCUGAUACUGGCUAGCUUGAGUCUCGUAGAGGGGGGUAGAAUUCCAUGUGUUGCGAGUGAAAUGCGUAAAGAUCUGGAGGAAUACCGGUGGCGAAGGCGGCCCCCUGGACCAAGACUGACGCUCAGGUGCUGAAAGCCUGGGGAGCAAACAGGAUUAAAUACCCUGGUAAUCCACGCCGUAAACAAUGUCUACUUGG